This 1094-nucleotide long non-coding RNA is filed under the name Ananas comosus (pineapple). Its description in RNAcentral is "long non-coding RNA (ACOM_LNC037964)". The record is from RNAcentral. Lineage: Eukaryota; Viridiplantae; Streptophyta; Magnoliopsida; Poales; Bromeliaceae.
AAAAUUUCUAACUUCUCUGGCUAAAAUUACUUAAUUUUAAAAAUUAAAGGAAUAAUUACCUAUAUACCCCUCAAAAUUUUAAAAAUAUCUCAUUUAUCCUUACAUUUUUUUUUUCUAAUAUACCAUUUUAUAUGUUUCUCUGUUAUUCCAAAAUAUCCAUGCAAUUAUCUCUUGUUAAGUUAAUUUAAGUUAAACGUGUGUUAAAUAUUUACCAGAGUUAAAAAAAAUAAAAUAUCUCUUUUGCCUCUAAAUUAAAUGCAAAUAAGAAAUAUUGAUGAUGGUAAAAGGGUAUAUUUGAAAAGACAAAAAAUUAAAAUAUUUUUUGUGCCGCUGACUUAAGGGCAAAUAAGAAAAGUCAGUGAUGAUAGAAUGAUAUAUUUGAAAGGAUAAAAUAGUAAUUUCAUAGAGAUAAUUGCUAACAGGUUGGAGCGUAAAAAGGUAUUUUAAUAUUAACUUUUCAAAAGAGGUAAAUUAGAAAGUUGAAAACUUUUCAGGGAUAUAUGCUUCUAUUAAAUUUAACAAGUAAAUAUAAUUUAGGGGCAAUUGCUUAUAUACCCGUGAAAAGUUCCCGAUAUUUUGAUUUACCCUUCUUAGAAGGCUAAUAUUAAAAAUAUUUUUUUUACGUUCCAACCUAUUUCAAAUAUACCCCUCGAGUUAAAAUCUAUAAAUAAACUCUGUUAUCUCUAUGAAAUUACUAUUUUACCCUUUCAAAUAUACCCUUCUACUAUCACCGACUUUUCUUAUUUGCUCUUAAGUUAGGAGCACAAAACAUAUUUUACUUUUUGGUCUUUCAAAUAUACCCUUCUACCAUUAUUAAUAUUUCUUAUCUGCCUUUAAGUUACGGGCAAAAGUGGCAAUUUAAUUUUUGUUUAACUAUGUUAGAUAUUUAACUCACGUUUAACCCAAGUUAACUUAACGGAUGGUAACUGUAGAAAUAUUUUGAAAUAACGGAGGAACAUAUGAAGAAUAUAUUAGAAAGAAAAAAAAAAGGAUAAAUAAAAUAUUUCUGAUGUUUUGAAGGGUAUAUAGACAAUUACUUCUAUAAUUUAAUUAAAUAAAAUAACACAAAUCAUAAGCAAUUAAAAGUUAAUGUA